AAUAGAUACCCUGGUAGUCCACGCCGUAAACGAUGAGUGCUAAGUGUUAGAGGGUUCCCGCCCUUUAGUGCUGCAGCUAACGCAUUAAGCACUCCGCCUGGGGAGUACGGCCGCAAGGCUGAAACUCAAAGGAAUUGACGGGGGCCCGCACAAGCGGUGGAGCAUGUGGUUUAAUUCGAAGCAACGCGAAGAACCUUACCAGGUCUUGACAUCCUCUGACCUCCCUGGAGACAGGGCCUUCCCCUUCGGGGGACAGAGUGACAGGUGGUGCAUGGUUGUCGUCAGCUCAUGUCGUGAGAUGUUGGGUUAAGUCCCGCAACGAGCGCAACCCUUGACCUUAGUUGCCAGCAUUCAGUUGGGCACUCUAAGGUGACUGCCGGUGACAAACCGGAGGAAGGUGGGGAUGACGUCAAAUCAUCAUGCCCCUUAUGACCUGGGCUACACACGUGCUACAAUGGAUGGUACAAAGGGCUGCGAGACCGCGAGGUUAAGCCAAUCCCAGAAACCAUUCCCAGUUCGGAUUGCAGGCUG
This 531-nucleotide ribosomal RNA is filed under the name uncultured bacterium. RNAcentral's name for it is "bacterial SSU rRNA". It matches the Rfam family "Bacterial small subunit ribosomal RNA", at positions 777 to 1307 of the family's 1533-position model. The record is from RNAcentral.